RNAcentral lists this long non-coding RNA (1572 nucleotides) under Malus domestica (apple). RNAcentral describes it as "long non-coding RNA (MDOM_LNC009247)". Lineage: Eukaryota; Viridiplantae; Streptophyta; Magnoliopsida; Rosales; Rosaceae. The record is from RNAcentral.
AUCAACAAUCAUCCACCAAUUCAAGAUCAAGCCCCGACGGCCCUUGAAGAAAGUGUUCUUCGUUCAUUGUUCUUCCAAGAUCAAGCCCCAACGGCCCUUUGGAUCAACAAUCAUCCACCAAUUCAAGAUCAAGCCCCGACGGCCCUUGAAGAAAGUGUUCUUCGUUCUUCGUUCAUCGUUCUUCCAAGAUCAAGCCCCGACGGCCCCUUGGAUCAACCAUUCACCAAUUCAAGAUCAAGCACCGACGGCCCUUGAAGAAAGCACCAUCGUUCAUCAUCCGUUCAUCCAAGAUCAAGCCCCAACGGCCCUUUGGAUCAACAACGUCGACAAAUCCAUAAAUCCAACCGUUCUUCAAGAUCAAGCCCAAAACUCCUUGAAGAUCCGUUCAUCACUAUUCUUCAAGAUCAAGCCCAAAAGCCCUUGGAGAUCCGUUCAUCACUGUUCUUCAAAGAUCAAGCCCAAAAGCCCCUUUGAAGAUCCGCUCAAAUCCACCUUCAAGAUCAAGUCCACGGCCCUUGAAGAACGUUCAUCCUUAGAUCAAGCCCAACGGCCCUUUGGAUCAAUCACACAUCGACAAAUACACACCUUACGGAGAUCGAAUCAGAGGAUCAAAAUAGAGAGAGAUUGUAACCCAAAAUCAUCAAAUAGAAAUAUUUGUUUGUGCACGUUGUUCUUGUCUCUUUCGUUUCAGGAAUUUUCCGUGUUCACACUAUCUACUUAACAUACCAUCCUAACUAAACUAACAAAUAUAUGAAUUUAUAUUAUACCUAUAAACGAGAUAUGAAACUUAAUUAAAAGGUACAGAAAAUAAUAUAUCUACAAGAAAGACACCGCACAUUAAUAUGCGAUACAACUUGAUUAUAAAAAAGAAUUUGUCGUAUACAUAAAUAAAUACAACUAAUCUGUGAGAUAAGUUGAUUAUAAAACUAAAAAAAUAAUAAUCUAUAAAUGGGGUCUAGAAGGACAUGAAAUAACAAAAAAGAAAAAGAAAUAAGUGAAAUAAUUAAAGAGAAAAUUAGGAAGAAAUAUAAUUUGUAUGGUGAAUAUUAUCAAUAAAGAGAUAAUUAUUGAUAAUCUUAAAUUUAAGGAAUUGGACUUAAUUUAAUAAGCUAGACUAUUCCUAAAUUGCCUGGAAAAAUUGGACUUUUAUCAAUCUUAUCCUAAAUCUUAACAACAAAGAUUCCAUGCCAUGCAUGCAUGAUGCAUCCCUAGUCUAAUUUCUCCAAGCUAUUGAUGAGUUCCUUUGGGUACCUGAUACGUGGGAUGCGACGGAAUGAAGUGGGACGGGACACACGCGUCCCACAAUUGGUACGCCAAUUUGCCUUGGACAUGCUGUCCUAUGGAACGGAUUUUAGUCAAUAUUUUGUGCCACCCUCCCCCUGGAACGACUUGUUCCAGCCCAUGGAACACAAAAUUAUAACUUUUUGGACAACAAUACCCCUCAUAUUUUUCAUUAAUUUCACUAUCUACCCUCUAUCUCCCGUAGCAUCCCUCUCUUCUACCCUCUCUCUCUCUCAUGUAGCCUCCUCCUCCACCACAAACCUAGCAACCCAGACUAACCCAAUCCUAGUA